UUAUAGUCUAAAAUAUCGACGAAAUAUUGAGGAUAUUAUCAUUUUUUCUGAUCAUGGAUAUUUCGGAACGUAUCCAUACACAUAUUGUAUAAAUAUGGAUAAUAUCGGAAAAUAUCGAUGUCGAUAAUUUCGCUCACACUUCAGCAAUAUUUUGUCAAAAUAUUGCUAUAAUAUCGAAAAUAUCAAUAUAAUGGAAAAAAAGGAAAAGAAAAAAAAAACACAAGGGGGAUUCAAACAUUUGC
Molecule: long non-coding RNA, 242 nt
Filed under: Prunus persica (peach)
Lineage: Eukaryota; Viridiplantae; Streptophyta; Magnoliopsida; Rosales; Rosaceae
Description: long non-coding RNA (PPER_LNC003079)
Source: RNAcentral